GAGGGAAUUUCCACAAUGGACGAAAGUCUGAUGGAGCAACGCCGCGUGAACGAUGAAGGUCUUCGGAUUGUAAAGUUCUGUUGUCAGAGACGAACAAGUACCGUUCGAACAGGGCGGUACCUUGACGGUACCUGACGAGAAAGCCACGGCUAACUACGUG
Molecule: ribosomal RNA, 160 nt
Filed under: Bacillus sp. 40m
Lineage: Bacteria; Bacillati; Bacillota; Bacilli; Caryophanales; Bacillaceae
Description: partial 16S ribosomal RNA
Rfam family: Bacterial small subunit ribosomal RNA
Source: RNAcentral